CACGUAGGCACCAAGCGUUGUCCGGAUUUAUUGGGCGUAAAGAGCUCGUAGGCGGUGUGUCACGUCGGCCGUGAAAACCUGCAGCUUAACUGUGGGCGUGCGGUCGAUACGGGCAUCACUGGAGUUCGGCAGGGGAGACUGGAAUUCCUGGUGUAGCGGUGAAAUGCGCAGAUAUCAGGAGGAACACCGGUGGCGAAGGCGGGUCUCUGGGCCGAUACUGACGCUGAGGAGCGAAAGCGUGGGGAGCAAACAGG
RNAcentral lists this ribosomal RNA (254 nucleotides) under uncultured bacterium. RNAcentral's name for it is "partial 16S ribosomal RNA". It matches the Rfam family "Bacterial small subunit ribosomal RNA", at positions 524 to 776 of the family's 1533-position model. The record is from RNAcentral.